CCCUUAGAUGUUCUGGGCCGCACGCGUGCUACACUGAACGGUUCAAUGGGUAAGGUAGUGCGAAAGCAUGACCUAAUCUCGAAAUCCGUUCGUGCUGGGGAUAGAAGCUUGCAAUUAUCCUUCUUGAACGAGGAAUACCUUGUAAGCGUGAGUCAUCAUCUCACGCUGAAUACGUCCCUGCCCUUUGUACACACCGCCCGUCGCUCCUACCGAUUGAGUGUUCCGGUGAGGCUUUGGGAGAAUGGCCUCAACAUGAGUUUAUCGUGUUUUGCCGUUUGAACGUAGUCAAACCUUAUCACUUAGAGGAAGGAGAAGUCGUAACA
RNAcentral lists this ribosomal RNA (323 nucleotides) under uncultured eukaryote. RNAcentral describes it as "partial 18S ribosomal RNA". It matches the Rfam family "Eukaryotic small subunit ribosomal RNA", at positions 1470 to 1796 of the family's 1831-position model. The record is from RNAcentral.